UUAAGCGACUAAGCGUACACGGUGGAUGCCCUGGCAGUCAGAGGCGAUGAAGGACGUGCUAAUCUGCGAUAAGCGUCGGUAAGGUGAUAUGAACCGUUAUAACCGGCGAUUUCCGAAUGGGGAAACCCAGUGUGUUUCGACACACUAUCAUUAACUGAAUCCAUAGGUUAAUGAGGCGAACCGGGGGAACUGAAACAUCUAAGUACCCCGAGGAAAAGAAAUCAACCGAGAUUCCCCCAGUAGCGGCGAGCGAACGGGGAGCAGCCCAGAGCCUGAAUCAGUGUGUGUGUUAGUGGAAGCGUCUGGAAAGGCGCGCGAUACAGGGUGACAGCCCCGUACACAAAAAUGCACAUAUUGUGAGCUCGAUGAGUAGGGCGGGACACGUGGUAUCCUGUCUGAAUAUGGGGGGACCAUCCUCCAAGGCUAAAUACUCCUGACUGACCGAUAGUGAACCAGUACCGUGAGGGAAAGGCGAAAAGAACCCCGGCGAGGGGAGUGAAAAAGAACCUGAAACCGUGUACGUACAAGCAGUGGGAGCACGCUUAGGCGUGUGACUGCGUACCUUUUGUAUAAUGGGUCAGCGACUUAUAUUCUGUAGCAAGGUUAACCGAAUAGGGGAGCCGAAGGGAAACCGAGUCUUAACUGGGCGUUAAGUUGCAGGGUAUAGACCCGAAACCCGGUGAUCUAGCCAUGGGCAGGUUGAAGGUUGGGUAACACUAACUGGAGGACCGAACCGACUAAUGUUGAAAAAUUAGCGGAUGACUUGUGGCUGGGGGUGAAAGGCCAAUCAAACCGGGAGAUAGCUGGUUCUCCCCGAAAGCUAUUUAGGUAGCGCCUCGUGAAUUCAUCUCCGGGGGUAGAGCACUGUUUCGGCAAGGGGGUCAUCCCGACUUACCAACCCGAUGCAAACUGCGAAUACCGGAGAAUGUUAUCACGGGAGACACACGGCGGGUGCUAACGUCCGUCGUGAAGAGGGAAACAACCCAGACCGCCAGCUAAGGUCCCAAAGUCAUGGUUAAGUGGGAAACGAUGUGGGAAGGCCCAGACAGCCAGGAUGUUGGCUUAGAAGCAGCCAUCAUUUAAAGAAAGCGUAAUAGCUCACUGGUCGAGUCGGCCUGCGCGGAAGAUGUAACGGGGCUAAACCAUGCACCGAAGCUGCGGCAGCGACGCUUAUGCGUUGUUGGGUAGGGGAGCGUUCUGUAAGCCUGCGAAGGUGUGCUGUGAGGCAUGCUGGAGGUAUCAGAAGUGCGAAUGCUGACAUAAGUAACGAUAAAGCGGGUGAAAAGCCCGCUCGCCGGAAGACCAAGGGUUCCUGUCCAACGUUAAUCGGGGCAGGGUGAGUCGACCCCUAAGGCGAGGCCGAAAGGCGUAGUCGAUGGGAAACAGGUUAAUAUUCCUGUACUUGGUGUUACUGCGAAGGGGGGACGGAGAAGGCUAUGUUGGCCGGGCGACGGUUGUCCCGGUUUAAGCGUGUAGGCUGGUUUUCCAGGCAAAUCCGGAAAAUCAAGGCUGAGGCGUGAUGACGAGGCACUACGGUGCUGAAGCAACAAAUGCCCUGCUUCCAGGAAAAGCCUCUAAGCAUCAGGUAACAUCAAAUCGUACCCCAAACCGACACAGGUGGUCAGGUAGAGAAUACCAAGGCGCUUGAGAGAACUCGGGUGAAGGAACUAGGCAAAAUGGUGCCGUAACUUCGGGAGAAGGCACGCUGAUAUGUAGGUGAGGUCCCUCGCGGAUGGAGCUGAAAUCAGUCGAAGAUACCAGCUGGCUGCAACUGUUUAUUAAAAACACAGCACUGUGCAAACACGAAAGUGGACGUAUACGGUGUGACGCCUGCCCGGUGCCGGAAGGUUAAUUGAUGGGGUUAGCGCAAGCGAAGCUCUUGAUCGAAGCCCCGGUAAACGGCGGCCGUAACUAUAACGGUCCUAAGGUAGCGAAAUUCCUUGUCGGGUAAGUUCCGACCUGCACGAAUGGCGUAAUGAUGGCCAGGCUGUCUCCACCCGAGACUCAGUGAAAUUGAACUCGCUGUGAAGAUGCAGUGUACCCGCGGCAAGACGGAAAGACCCCGUGAACCUUUACUAUAGCUUGACACUGAACAUUGAGCCUUGAUGUGUAGGAUAGGUGGGAGGCUUAGAAGUGUGGACGCCAGUCUGCAUGGAGCCGACCUUGAAAUACCACCCUUUAAUGUUUGAUGUUCUAACGUUGACCCGUAAUCCGGGUUGCGGACAGUGUCUGGUGGGUAGUUUGACUGGGGCGGUCUCCUCCUAAAGAGUAACGGAGGAGCACGAAGGUUGGCUAAUCCUGGUCGGACAUCAGGAGGUUAGUGCAAUGGCAUAAGCCAGCUUGACUGCGAGCGUGACGGCGCGAGCAGGUGCGAAAGCAGGUCAUAGUGAUCCGGUGGUUCUGAAUGGAAGGGCCAUCGCUCAACGGAUAAAAGGUACUCCGGGGAUAACAGGCUGAUACCGCCCAAGAGUUCAUAUCGACGGCGGUGUUUGGCACCUCGAUGUCGGCUCAUCACAUCCUGGGGCUGAAGUAGGUCCCAAGGGUAUGGCUGUUCGCCAUUUAAAGUGGUACGCGAGCUGGGUUUAGAACGUCGUGAGACAGUUCGGUCCCUAUCUGCCGUGGGCGCUGGAGAACUGAGGGGGGCUGCUCCUAGUACGAGAGGACCGGAGUGGACGCAUCACUGGUGUUCGGGUUGUCAUGCCAAUGGCACUGCCCGGUAGCUAAAUGCGGAAGAGAUAAGUGCUGAAAGCAUCUAAGCACGAAACUUGCCCCGAGAUGAGUUCUCCCUGACCCUUUAAGGGUCCUGAAGGAACGUUGAAGACGACGACGUUGAUAGGCCGGGUGUGUAAGCGCAGCGAUGCGUUGAGCUAACCGGUACUAAUGAACCGUGAGGCUUAACCU
Molecule: ribosomal RNA, 2901 nt
Filed under: Escherichia coli
Lineage: Bacteria; Pseudomonadati; Pseudomonadota; Gammaproteobacteria; Enterobacterales; Enterobacteriaceae
Description: 23S ribosomal RNA
Rfam family: Bacterial large subunit ribosomal RNA
Source: RNAcentral